Molecule: unclassified non-coding RNA, 86 nt
Filed under: Pseudomonas kilonensis
Lineage: Bacteria; Pseudomonadati; Pseudomonadota; Gammaproteobacteria; Pseudomonadales; Pseudomonadaceae
Source: RNAcentral
GUGGGAGCAAAGCUUGCUCGCGAUGCAGGCAACUCGGGUUCAAGUGAUACCGAGGUGUUGCUGUCGCGAGCAAGCUUUGCUCCCAC